Non-coding RNA from Paramisgurnus dabryanus, 844 nucleotides. The record is from RefSeq and is a predicted model, not a curated record. NCBI's taxonomy places the organism in Eukaryota, Metazoa, Chordata, Actinopteri, Cypriniformes, Cobitidae.
UUUCUAAUCUAACUAUCUAAGAAAUAUUUGAAAUCUGUUUUGAUGUUUACAGAUUGCUCCUACCACACUCGCCUAGAGGUGUUCCCCAUCAGGAGUGUAUUAAGAGAAAGAGUGAUAAAGGGCAAAGCAGAAAUGCUGGUUGACUGGGAGCCCUGUCCAGUAUGUGGUGAGCAGUGGGCCCAUUCCUGGCAGCCAAAGGAUUCACUCCAAAAUAAUGAAAAUAAAUAAAAUGUAUGUUUAGAACUGCAUUUUGGUUUUAGCCUAUUUAUUAAAUUGUUUUUGUGCUGCAUUUGAAGUCAUGUCUCAUCUUUCUGUAGUAGUGAAAAGGGGAACAUCUCCAAGAAUGUGACCUGGAGUUUAAUCUCGAAAGGGAAUGUACUAGAAAUGUACUUAAUCCAACUAAAAUUUCUUCUUCAGAUGUUAUUUAAAAGCAUGUUUUCAUAUUUCAUGAUUAUAAAUUGCACUGUUAUUUUAUUACAGUUGACGUGUUAUUUGAUGUCAUGUUCUGUUUUCUGUGCAUUUUAACCUCACAGUCCACUUUUAAGAAAUAUAACCUUAUGGCUUGUAUGACAUGAAGCUUAAAUAUGAAGUUCAACAAAUAAGACUCAUCUUCUAUAUACUCGCACAUUAUAUCAUAUCUUUUAAUUAAAUUCUCUCUCUCACUCUCUUCAACUCCAAACUCAUCAGCUGACUGGGUGUUUUAUGUCUUAAACCAAAUGUAUUUUCAUCUCAACCCUCUUGAGCCAAUUGUGUCAUACAGUAGGUCCAUCCACUGUGGUCAUCAGGAGAAGAGCUCCACAUUCAUCUAGAUCUCAGCAUUGCUACUCACCCCUUUACCACCACC